Molecule: non-coding RNA, 174 nt
Organism: Arachis ipaensis
Lineage: Eukaryota; Viridiplantae; Streptophyta; Magnoliopsida; Fabales; Fabaceae
Source: RefSeq, a predicted model, not a curated record
AUUCUGCAAUUGCAAGUAACAUUUGGUUAGAUUUUAUGGAGCUUCCGCAGAAAAAGAGAAGAAGGCCAUAUAGAGCAGGAAUGGCCUAAAGGAUGGAGAGGAAUCUUGCACAAAUGGAAUCAGCACAAGAAUUAAAGGAGAUGACAGCGAAAAGCGACGCGUGCGCGUGCCUGA